Molecule: ribosomal RNA, 512 nt
Filed under: uncultured bacterium
Lineage: Bacteria
Description: bacterial SSU rRNA
Rfam family: Bacterial small subunit ribosomal RNA
Source: RNAcentral
AACGAACGCUGGCGGCGUGCUUAACACAUGCAAGUCGAACGCGAAAGGGACUUCGGUCCUGAGUAAAGUAGGCGCACGGGUGAGUAACGCGUAGAUAACCUGUCUUCAUGUCUGGAAUAAUACGCCGAAAGGGGUACUAAUACCGGAUAUUCUUGCUUUUCAUAAGUUAUGCAAGCAAAGGUGGCCUCUGCAUAUGCUACUGCAUGAAGAGGGGUCUGCGUACCAUUAGCUAGUAGGUGGGGUAAUGGCCUACCUAGGCGACGAUGGUUAGCGGGUCUGAGAGGAUGAUCCGCCACACUGGCACUGGAACACGGGCCAGACUCCUACGGGAGGCAGCAGUGAGGAAUAUUGCGCAAUGGGGGAAACCCUGACGCAGCGACGCCGCGUGAGUGAAGGAAGGCCUUCGGGUCGUAAAGCUCUGUCAAGAGGAAAGAAGUGUACAAUGGCUAAUACCUGUUGUAUUUGACGGUACCUCUAAAGGAAGCACCGGCUAACUCCGUGCCAGCCGCUGC